Molecule: long non-coding RNA, 265 nt
Filed under: Salvia miltiorrhiza (redroot sage)
Lineage: Eukaryota; Viridiplantae; Streptophyta; Magnoliopsida; Lamiales; Lamiaceae
Description: long non-coding RNA (SMIL_LNC002468)
Source: RNAcentral
ACCUCACUCUUCAAGUCCCAGAAAAUAAUAACUUUAUCACGUUUGUUCAUCCAGUAAAGCUUCCCACCUGCAAACACCCCUCCUAGCGAACAGUAAACUAAAUCAUAGGAGAGCUCAAUUGUUUUCCACGAUUUUGUCUUUGAACUAUAAACUUUACCAACCUUGUCAUAAUAAUCAACCACAAGCACAAACACCUUAUACUCAUUAGUCGAUUCAACCCAACCAAACCCAAAAUUGCAAACAUCAGAGUUGGGAUUAGAAAUUU